Molecule: ribosomal RNA, 607 nt
Filed under: Trichoderma harzianum
Lineage: Eukaryota; Fungi; Ascomycota; Sordariomycetes; Hypocreales; Hypocreaceae
Description: eukaryotic LSU rRNA
Rfam family: 5.8S ribosomal RNA (bases 216-369)
Source: RNAcentral
AACCGCGAGACAUUACCGAGUUUACACUCCCAACCCAUUGUGAACGUUACCAAACUGUUGCCUCGGCGGGAUCUCUGCCCCGGGUGCGUCGCAGCCCCGGACCAAGGCGCCCGCCGGAGGACCAACCAAAACUCUUUAUUGUAUACCCCCUCGCGGGUUUUUUUAUAAUCUGAGCCUUCUCGGCGCCUCUCGUAGGCGUUUCGAAAAUGAAUCAAAACUUUCAACAACGGAUCUCUUGGUUCUGGCAUCGAUGAAGAACGCAGCGAAAUGCGAUAAGUAAUGUGAAUUGCAGAAUUCAGUGAAUCAUCGAAUCUUUGAACGCACAUUGCGCCCGCCAGUAUUCUGGCGGGCAUGCCUGUCCGAGCGUCAUUUCAACCCUCGAACCCCUCCGGGGGGUCGGCGUUGGGGAUCGGCCCUGCCUUUGGCGGUGGCCGUCUCCGAAAUACAGUGGCGGUCUCGCCGCAGCCUCUCCUGCGCAGUAGUUUGCACACUCGCAUCGGGAGCGCGGCGCGUCCACAGCCGUUAAACACCCAACUUCUGAAAUGUUGACCUCGGAUCAGGGUAGGAAUACCCGCUGAACUUAAGCAUAUCAAAUUAAGCGGGAGGA